Molecule: long non-coding RNA, 984 nt
Organism: Puma concolor (puma)
Lineage: Eukaryota; Metazoa; Chordata; Mammalia; Carnivora; Felidae
Source: RefSeq, a predicted model, not a curated record
AUUUCUGACUUAGAACGUCUUCCUAUUAUGAUACUCCUCUCCUCCUAUUGCAAUAACCCCCUUCAUAUGAACAUAGUAAAUCCUUCAUAGUAACAUCCAUUGCAUUUUUUUUCUUUCACAGGGAUGACGCUGUAACUCUGACAGAAUGUCAGAUGCCCCCAGGACCUUGCUUUCUUCACCCAGGCGUCAAUGCCAUCUGAUCAGAUGCUGGCUCCUUUCCUGGCCGGGGAAGUUGGGAUCCACAGUGGUGGUUUUAUGUUCCUCUGGUGCUUCCCGAAGAGCCCUUGCAAAUCAGCUACCAACUGAGUGCUCUGUCUUCAACCAAAAAGGAUUAUCUUAGAGACCCGUGGAAGCGGACUAUGCCAGCCAGGUACUCUUGGGCAUCCCAUUUAAGAACACUGAAACAAUUGACCUCUGCCUGCACUCCAAACAGAUGAUUCAAUUGGUCUUCUAGGGACAUCACUGAGAAUAUGGUGGCCCUGAGGUCUAUCUCACUCAGCCAUCCGCUGUUUGAGUUAUUCCUUAUCCUUGAAUUGUCCAUGAAGAGUCUCUCUGAGCCCACCUUGAACAAAGAGAGGGACUGACAAGGCUGAGGCAACUUUAUGCUUCAUAUAAGUUUAGGCUGCUUUGCUGAGAACCACUAGGUCCCAACUCUGCAAACUUCCUGCAUUUUUGCUUGUUUACUUCAACUGAGACCAGAAUCCCAAGUCCUUGUGCCUGAGGACACAACUUUCCUGCCUCAACUUUUCUACUAGUACAACACUGGAUGCAGUUCAUUAUGUUUCAAGGCACCUUCCGCACACCAGCUGUUAGCAUGACAUCCUUCUGCUUUGCACAGGCACCUAUCCCCGGGUCUCUGCUUACAGAAACUUUGCUUGUCCCCCCGCUCCACCCCCCCCCCCACCUGCCUGACACUGCUCUGGCUCAGGCUUCGAGCAUCUCUCUGCAAUAGUCUCAUUCAAUAAUACCUCUCCUUACUCGGGU